This 548-nucleotide ribosomal RNA is filed under the name Curvularia geniculata. RNAcentral's name for it is "partial large subunit ribosomal RNA". It matches the Rfam family "Eukaryotic large subunit ribosomal RNA", at positions 41 to 593 of the family's 3401-position model. Lineage: Eukaryota; Fungi; Ascomycota; Dothideomycetes; Pleosporales; Pleosporaceae. The record is from RNAcentral.
UAUCAAUAAGCGGAGGAAAAGAAACCAACAGGGAUUGCCUUAGUAACGGCGAGUGAAGCGGCAACAGCUCAAAUUUGAAAUCUGGCUCUUUCAGAGUCCGAGUUGUAAUUUGCAGAGGGCGCUUUGGCUUUGGCAGCGGUCCAAGUUCCUUGGAACAGGACGUCACAGAGGGUGAGAAUCCCGUACGUGGUCGCUAGCUAUUGCCGUGUAAAGCCCCUUCGACGAGUCGAGUUGUUUGGGAAUGCAGCUCUAAAUGGGAGGUAAAUUUCUUCUAAAGCUAAAUAUUGGCCAGAGACCGAUAGCGCACAAGUAGAGUGAUCGAAAGAUGAAAAGCACUUUGGAAAGAGAGUCAAACAGCACGUGAAAUUGUUGAAAGGGAAGCGCUUGCAGCCAGACUUGCUUGCAGUUGCUCAUCCGGGCUUUUGCCCGGUGCACUCUUCUGCAGGCAGGCCAGCAUCAGUUUGGGCGGUGGGAUAAAGGUCUCUGACACGUUCCUUCCUUCGGGUUGGCCAUAUAGGGGAGACGUCAUACCACCAGCCUGGACUGAG